Molecule: ribosomal RNA, 488 nt
Filed under: uncultured eukaryote
Lineage: Eukaryota
Description: SSU rRNA
Rfam family: Eukaryotic small subunit ribosomal RNA
Source: RNAcentral
AACUUGGGCCUGGCUGGCGGGUCCGCCUCACCGCGUGCACUCGUCCGGCCGGGCCUUCCUUCUGAAGAACCUCAUGCCCUUCACUGGGCGUGCUGGAGAAUCAGGACUUUUACUUUGAAAAAAUUAGAGUGUUCAAAGCAGGCCUUUGCUCGAAUACGUUAGCAUGGAAUAAUAAAAUAGGACGUGCGUUUCUAUUUUGUUGGCUUCUAGAGACGCCGCAAUGAUUAACAGGAACAGUCGGGGGCAUCAGUAUUCAGUUGUCAGAGGUGAAAUUCUUGGAUUUACUGAAGACUAACUACUGCGAAAGCAUUUGCCAAGGAUGUUUUCAUUAAUCAGUGAACGAAAGUUAGGGGAUCGAAGACGAUCAGAUACCGUCGUAGUCUUAACCGUAAACUAUGCCGACUAGGGAUCGGGCGAUGUUCUUUUUCUGACUCGCUCGGCAGCUUACGAGAAAUCAAAGUUUUAGGGUUCUGGGGGGAUUAUGGUCG